Long non-coding RNA from Ipomoea triloba (trilobed morning glory), 2365 nucleotides. RefSeq lists it as uncharacterized. Lineage: Eukaryota; Viridiplantae; Streptophyta; Magnoliopsida; Solanales; Convolvulaceae. The record is from RefSeq and is a predicted model, not a curated record. The transcript is spliced from 2 exons.
UCAAGUUUCAGCUUUAGCUUCAGCCGUCGCCCACACCAUCUUCAAUCACAUUCGUCGCCCACCCCAUCGCCACACCAUCGCCACACCACACCGUCCGUCGCCCACACCAUCGCCGAGUUCGGCCAGCCGCGCCGUCGCCCAGUUCGGCCACCGCCUUCACCCACCUUCUCCUCCUUCGCCAUCGACCAGUUCGCCGUUUCAUCCACCUCCGUCAGCCACCGUCUCGUCCUUCGACGCCGUUUCACCCACCGCCGUUGCCGGUGUGCCCACUGCCGUCAACCAGUUCGCCACCGCCGGCAGUCAGGCUCAAGCUUCGUCCAGUUAUUGGUAAUGCUAUUUGUUCUAUUUGUUCUAAUAUAGUUCUCGUAAUUUUUAUUGUAAUGCAGUUUUAUUCUAAUGCUAUUGCUAGGUAAUUUUUAUAAAUUCUAAUGCUAUUUGUUCUAGUAUAGGUAAUUUUUAUAAAUUUCAAUCCAGUACUUCAUAAUCUUGUAUAGGUAAUUUUUAUCAUUAUUACUCCGUAUUAUUUAAGCUGCAAAUUCCAGCUGCAAAUUAUGGCUCACUGAGGUAAACUUUCUAGGCCAACUUAGACUUCCUAAUUUCAUCAAGCUGAUUGGAUAUUGCUGCGAGGAUGAUCACCGAUUACUUGUUUAUGAGUUCAUGUUCAGAGGAAGCCUUGGUUAGUGUUGUUCCAUUUCCCUAAAAAGUAAUGCCCUGUAAUUUUAUAUACUGAUAUGCCUUUCCCGUGUUAGGCUAUAAUUCUAUACUCAUGUAACCUUGGUUAUGGGUCUUGCGGUAUCAUUCUAGCCAUUGGGUCUUGCUUAUUAAAUGGAACCAUAGAUGAAUUAUAUAUUUAUCAUUAUUUUAGUUUAUCUUACUGAGUUAUUAUGUGUCAUGCAAACUACACUAAUCCAGUAAAAUCCUAUAUCAAGAGAAAAGUAGGCACAUAGAACCUAACAAGUAGGAAACAUACUGUUAAUAUUUUCAAUUUCAUAGUGCAAUUACUUGGAUUAUAGAUUCUGAAAGCUGAGAAAUUGGCUUAAUAAUGAGAAUAAUGUGAUCUACUAUAUGAACACACAUAUACAACAAUGAGGGGAAGGUAGAGCUGUAGAGGAGAUGAGAAAGAGAGGGGGAGAGUGUGUGUGCUUUGGUGAGAACAUGGGAAUGGAAUCAAAAGGUGGCAAAUUUUAUGUAAGGUGAAUAGAGAUUGAACCUAAGACAUCUCAUAUAAGGUAUAUUCUUGCAGCCCUCCAUUUAAAAAUCUGCACAAAUCAUCAAUCAAUAUCUAAAAAAUUUUAAGAGAUUCCUUAAAACCUUUACAAGUUAAAAUCUUAUAUCAAAGUAUCAGUUUAAACAGAAACAUAAUUACUGUAGAACCACUUGAAAAAAUGUUAGCACUUGAAACUACCCAAACUUUAAGUGCUCAUUUAUAACCCUAACUUAAUAUUCUACUUUACUGGUUACUCUUCAGCAUCUCAGAUUUGUAGAAAUUUCUAACAGGCUUCUUUCUUAAUUAGAAGUAAUCAUAAUUAGCUUCCCUUGUGCUUUAUUAGUUUGAUUAAAGUGCAUGCAUCUCUUGUUCAGAAGAUGUGUUGAGUCCAUUGCACACAUUCUUGCACUCAUGUAGUAGCAUAACACAUGUUUGGGGGGAAGUUGCUUUGCAUUUGAUUCUGUUUAACAUUGUGAAUGAAAUCCUUAAGCUUAAUGAGGGAACAUGCAGAACUUCUUAAUUCUGUAAGAGAUGAUAUUAGUGAGUACAAGGUGAGUAAGCUCAAGUUUUAAGUUAUCUAAUGGAUGCAAAUGUAAAUUAAACAAAGUCGCGCCGGCCUCCACAGGACGAAAUAAUGUCUACUCCAGCUGUGUCUGCUGUGAUACGAAAGAGAAAGACACCAUUCUCUUCUAUUUGUAUUUUGUUUUGUUUUGUGAGUAUAAACAAUUCUUAAAUAUCUAUUUGACAGUUAAAUUGGGAAACACUUAUGCAGGGAUGUAGCCAUGUAGGGAGUAUUCAUUAACCUUAGCUACACCUUUAAUGAAUUUUGAUAACAGAUUCACUGCUAGACAUUUUCUAUCUGUUUCUUUUGGGAGUGAAAAAGAAUUUAUUGAUGAUGAAGAGGCAGAGUAGAUGGGUGUAGAUUUCCAGAUGGUAAAAGUGAAAUUGAGACAGGAGUGAAGAAAGAAGCCUAUUCCAGUUGAUGAAGAAUGAAGAAAGAAACCUAUUCAAAUCAAAUGAUCUUAAUGUUAGUUGUUGUUUGUUAAGAAUAUUAUAUUGUUGUUUAGACUUGAAUUGACUAUUAUUAUUUAUUAGAUGUGAAUUAAUAUAUAUUAUUACUUGAACCUAAUAUGGAUGGAUAGUGUUUUAAAAUUAUGU